RNAcentral lists this ribosomal RNA (411 nucleotides) under uncultured bacterium. RNAcentral's name for it is "bacterial SSU rRNA". It matches the Rfam family "Bacterial small subunit ribosomal RNA", at positions 155 to 559 of the family's 1533-position model. The record is from RNAcentral.
GGGUUCGACUAACUACCGCAUACUCCGUACGGAAGGAAGGGGGGGAUCUUCGGACCUCUCGCUAAUAGAUGAGCCUAGGCCGGAUUAGCUAGUUGGUAGGGUAAAGGCCUACCAAGGCGACGAUCUGUAGCUGGUCUGAGAGGAUGGCCAGCCACACUGGAACUGAGACACGGUCCAGACUCCUACGGGGAGGCAGCAGGUGGGGAAUAUUGGACAAUGGGGGCAACCCUGAUCCAGCCAUGCCGCGUGUGUGAAGAAGGCCUUCGGGUUGUAAAGCACUUUAAGCGAGGAGGAAGGUUUUAGUUUAAUACACUAAAGAAUUGACGUUACUCGCAGAAUAAGCACCGGCUAACUCUGUGCCAGCAGCCGCGGUAAUACAGAGGGUGCAAGCGUUAAUCGGAAUUACUGGGC